GGAUGUGAGGGCGAUCUGGCUGAGACAUCUGUCACCCCAUUGAUCUGUCACCCCAUUGAUCGCCAGAGUUGAUUCGGCUGAUCUGGCUGGCUAGGCAGAUGUCCCCUUCCUCCCUCAAUGCUCCAUUUGCAUCCCUCUCGAAGCUGCAUGCUCGGUCGUAAAGGAUGACCACCCCCGAUAGAGGAUGACCACCUCCAAUAGACAAUCCCAUAGGGAUGAUAGUGUGGGAAUUCCUGUCUGCAGGAAGCAAACAUAAAACUUCACUUAUCAAAUUAUUGUAAUGGUAUACUUCCAAGAAUUAUUU
This 304-nucleotide small RNA is filed under the name Chinchilla lanigera (long-tailed chinchilla). RNAcentral describes it as "7SK RNA (ENSCLAG00000021925.1)". The stretch from base 1 to 205 matches the Rfam family "7SK RNA". From Rfam's summary of the family: 7SK was discovered as an abundant small nuclear RNA in the mid-70s but a possible function has only recently been suggested. Two independent studies have found that 7SK RNA binds the CDK9/cyclin T complex (known as elongation factor P-TEFb). The record is from RNAcentral. Lineage: Eukaryota; Metazoa; Chordata; Mammalia; Rodentia; Chinchillidae.